GUGGGGAAUAUUGGACAAUGGGCGAAAGCCUGAUCCAGCAAUGCCGCGUGAGUGAAGAAGGCCUUCGGGUUGUAAAGCUCUUUUACCCGGGAAGAUAAUGACUGUACCGGGAGAAUAAGCCCCGGCUAACUCCGUGCCAGCAGCCGCGGUAAUACGGAGGGGGCUAGCGUUGUUCGGAAUUACUGGGCGUAAAGCGCACGUAGGCGGUCUUUUAAGUCAGAGGUGAAAGCCCGGGGCUCAACUCCGGAAUUGCCUUUGAAACUGGGAGACUUGAACACGGGAGAGGUGAGUGGAAUGCCGAGUGUAGAGGUGAAAUUCGUAGAUAUUCGGAGGAACACCAGUGGCGAAGGCGGCUCACUGGACCGUUGUUGACGCUGAGGUGCGAAAGCGUGGGGAGCAAACAGGAUUAGAAACCCCAGUAGUCC
This 425-nucleotide ribosomal RNA is filed under the name uncultured bacterium. RNAcentral's name for it is "partial 16S ribosomal RNA". It matches the Rfam family "Bacterial small subunit ribosomal RNA", at positions 354 to 796 of the family's 1533-position model. The record is from RNAcentral.